Molecule: ribosomal RNA, 501 nt
Filed under: uncultured bacterium
Lineage: Bacteria
Description: partial 16S ribosomal RNA
Rfam family: Bacterial small subunit ribosomal RNA
Source: RNAcentral
AUUGAACGCUGGCGGUAGGCUUAACACAUGCAAGUCGAGCGGGGGAAGGUAGCUUGCUACUGGACCUAGCGGCGGACGGGUGAGUAAUGCUUAGGAAUCUGCCUAUUAGUGGGGGACAACAUCUCGAAAGGGAUGCUAAUACCGCAUACGUCCUACGGGAGAAAGCAGGGGAUCUUCGGACCUUGCGCUAAUAGAUGAGCCUAAGUCGGAUUAGCUAGUUGGUGGGGUAAAGGCCUACCAAGGCGACGAUCUGUAGCGGGUCUGAGAGGAUGAGCCGCCACACUGGGACGGAGACACGGCCCAGACUCCUACGGGAGGCAGCAGUGGGGAAUAUUGGACAAUGGGGGGAACCCUGAUCCAGCCAUGCCGCGUGUGUGAAGAAGGCCUUAUGGUUGUAAAGCACUUUAAGCGAGGAGGAGGCUACUUUAGUUAAUACCUAGAGAUAGUGGACGUUACUCGCAGAAUAAGCACCGGCUAACUCUGUGCCAGCAGCCGCGGUAA